GAUGAACGCUGACAGAAUGCUUAACACAUGCAAGUCGAUGGGGAAGUGGUGCUUGCACCAUGGUAACCAUGGCGGACGGGUGAGUAACGCGUAAGGAACUUGCCUGCGGGACUGGGAUAACAGCAGGAAACUGCUGAUAAUACCGGAUAAGGUCAUUAAGCUGCAUAGCUUGGUGAUGAAAGGAGACGCCUGCGGAGAGCCUUGCGUCCUAUUAGCUAGUUGGAGGGGUAACGGCCCACCAAGGCGAAGAUAGGUAGCCGGCCUGAGAGGGUGGACGGCCACAAGGGGACUGAGAUACGGCCCUUACUCCUACGGGAGGCAGCAGUGGGGAAUAUUGGACAAUGGGGGCAACCCUGAUCCAGCAAUUCUGUGUGCACGAAGACGGUUUUCGGAUUGUAAAGUGCUUUCAGCAGGGAAGAAGGAAGUGACGGUACCUGCAGAAGAAGCGACGGCUAAAUACGUGCCAGCAGCCGCGGUAAUACGUAUGUCGCGAGCGUUAUCCGGAAUUAUUGGGCAUAAAGGGCAUCUAGGCGGCCUUUCAAGUCAGGGGUGAAAACCUGCGGCUCAACCGCAGGCCUGCCUUUGAAACUGAUAGGCUGGAGUACCGGAGAGGUGGACGGGACUGCACGAGUAGAGGUGAAAUUCGUAGAUAUGUGCAGGAAUGCCGAUGAUGAAGAUAGUUCACUGGACGGUAACUGACGCUGAAGUGCGAAAGCCGGGGGAGCGAACAGG
This 732-nucleotide ribosomal RNA is filed under the name uncultured Leptotrichia sp. Its description in RNAcentral is "bacterial SSU rRNA". It matches the Rfam family "Bacterial small subunit ribosomal RNA", at positions 28 to 776 of the family's 1533-position model. The record is from RNAcentral. Lineage: Bacteria; Fusobacteriati; Fusobacteriota; Fusobacteriia; Fusobacteriales; Leptotrichiaceae.